Molecule: ribosomal RNA, 253 nt
Filed under: uncultured bacterium
Lineage: Bacteria
Description: partial 16S ribosomal RNA
Rfam family: Bacterial small subunit ribosomal RNA
Source: RNAcentral
UACGUAGGGGGCAAGCGUUGUCCGGAAUCAUUGGGCGUAAAGAGCGUGUAGGCGGCCAGAUAAGUCCGCUGUGAAAACUCGAGGCUCAACUUCGAGCUGUCGGUGGAAACUUUCUGGCUAGAGUCCGGAAGAGGAGAAUGGAAUUCCUGGUGUAGCGGUGAAAUGCGCAGAUAUCAGGAAGAACACCCGUGGCGAAGGCGGUUCUCUGGGCCGGAACUGACGCUGAGGAGCGAAAGCGUGGGGAGCGAACAGG